RNAcentral lists this non-coding RNA (73 nucleotides) under Paramuricea clavata. Lineage: Eukaryota; Metazoa; Cnidaria; Anthozoa; Malacalcyonacea; Plexauridae. The record is from RNAcentral.
CAUCAUCGGUGCACUGUGCUGAUGAGCUCCAAAAAGGCGAAACAGCUGUCCACAGUUGCCGUUGUUUGAGCUU